UACGGAGGAUCCAAGCGUUAUCCGGAUUUAUUGGGCUUAAAGGGUGCGUAGGCGGCCUUGUAAGUCAGGGGUGAAAGACGGUAGCUCAACUAUCGCAGUGCCCUUGAUACUGCAGGGCUUGAAUACACUAGAGGUAGGCGGAAUGUGACAAGUAGCGGUGAAAUGCAUAGAGAUGUCGCGGAACACCGAUUGCGAAGGCAGCUUACUAGGGUACAAUUGACGCUGAGGCACGAAAGCGUGGGGAUCAAACAGG
This 253-nucleotide ribosomal RNA is filed under the name uncultured bacterium. RNAcentral's name for it is "partial 16S ribosomal RNA". It matches the Rfam family "Bacterial small subunit ribosomal RNA", at positions 524 to 776 of the family's 1533-position model. The record is from RNAcentral.